CUCGCCGCUGGAUGCUGAUGAAAGAUGCCUUCUCAGGAUGCUCCAGCAUCAGCAAGAUAGAACAGGGUCUCCGUGUCCAGGUCUUCCUGUUAGAGAAGAAGGAGGGUACCUGUGGACUUCGCCUCUCUACCAACAGCAGCCACGCCCUGUACUCUCUGGAGGUGCAGCUUCUGCAGGUUCUCCCUGGCUUCAUCAGCAAUGACUCCACAAUGCUCAGCUUCAGCUGCACGUAUACCCUGGUGGUGAAUGUCAGCCAGACCCACCCCUACCAGCUGCCCCGUCAGCAACCGGCUGCUCCAGGGCCUGCGGGCCAACGGGGCCUCUCUGGAGGUGA
Molecule: long non-coding RNA, 334 nt
Organism: Homo sapiens (human)
Lineage: Eukaryota; Metazoa; Chordata; Mammalia; Primates; Hominidae
Gene: ZPLD2P
Product: zona pellucida like domain containing 2, pseudogene
Source: Ensembl